Molecule: ribosomal RNA, 504 nt
Filed under: uncultured bacterium
Lineage: Bacteria
Description: bacterial SSU rRNA
Rfam family: Bacterial small subunit ribosomal RNA
Source: RNAcentral
AGAGUUUGAUCAUGGACUCAGGAUGAACGCUGGCGGCGUGCUUAACACAGUGCAAGUCGAACGGAGUAAUAUGAAGUCUUCGGACAGAUAUUACUAGUGGCGGACGGGUGAGUAACGCGUGGGUAACCUACCUCAUACAGGGGGAUAACAGUUGGAAACGACUGCUAACGCCGCAUAACAAGUUGGGACCGCAUGAUCCCUAACUUCAAAAUAUUUAUAGGUAUGAGAUGGGCCCGCGUCUGAUUAGCUAGUUGGUGGGGUAAUGGCCUACCAAGGCGACGAUCAGUAGCCGGCUUGAGAGAGUGACCGGCCACAUUGGGACUGAGACACGGCCCAAACUCCUACGGGAGGCAGCAGUGGGGAAUAUUGGACAAUGGGGGCAACCCUGAUCCAAGCGACGCCGCGUGAGUGAAGAAGUAUUUCGGUAUGUAAAGCUCUAUCAGCAGGGAAGAUAAUGACAGUACCUGACUAAGAAGCCCCGGCUAACUACGUGCCAGCCGCAGC